GUCUGCCGCCAGACCGCCCUGAGCGCCCGACCUCGUCUGAUCUCCGAAGCUGAGCGGGGUCGAGCCUGGUCGUAUUUGGAUGGGAGACCGCCUGGGAACACCGGGUGCUGGAGGCU
This 116-nucleotide ribosomal RNA is filed under the name Chinchilla lanigera (long-tailed chinchilla). The record is from RNAcentral. Lineage: Eukaryota; Metazoa; Chordata; Mammalia; Rodentia; Chinchillidae.